CUCUUCAGGAGCCUUGUAUGUUAUUUUCAGAGGUAGUCUGGCUCUGGUAUCCAAAACAGCCAAAUGCUCCAUUUCUAAACGUUAAUCAAUUUUCAAUUGCAAUACGGUUCUAGAAAUAAAAUUAUUUCACAAACGCCAAAUACACACUUACUGUACACUGUUUUAACCUGCUUUAUCACAGUUACAGGUACACUGUUUUAACCUGCUUUAUCACAGUUACAGGUACACUGUUUUAACCUGCUUUAUCACAGUUACAGGUACACUGUUUUAACCUGCUUUAUCACAGUUACAGGUACACUGUUUUAACCUGCUUUAUCACAGUUACAGGUACACUGUUUUAACCUGCUUUAUCACAGUUACAGGUACACUGUUUUAACCUGCUUUAUCACAGUUACAGGUACACUGUUUUAACCUGCUUUAUCACAGUUACAGGUACACUGUUUUAACCUGCUUUAUCACAGUUACAGGUACACUGUUUUAACCUGCUUUAUCACAGUUACAGGUACACUGUUUUAACCUGCUUUAUCACAGUUACAGGUACACUGUUUUAACCUGCUUUAUCACAGUUACAGGUACACUGUUUUAACCUGCUUUAUCACAGUUACAGGUACACUGUUUUAACCUGCUUUAUCACAGUUACAGGUACACUGUUUUAACCUGCUUUAUCACAGUUACAGGUACACUGUUUUAACCUGCUUUAUCACAGUUACAGGUACACUGUUUUAACCUGCUUUAUCACAGUUACAGGUACACUGUUUUAACCUGCUUUAUCACAGUUACAGGUACACUGUUUUAACCUGCUUUAUCACAGUUACAGGUACACUGUUUUAACCUGCUUUAUCACAGUUGCAGCCGACAGUAUUUUUCAGUGGCAACAUGUUUCUGGCAGCCAUCUUCCGUUACACACAGGUGUUUGGAGCACCCUAGAUAGCUAAUUAGCAUAGGUGGUCACCUCUGUCUUGCGUAAACAAGCGCUGUAACAUGGAGAUAUGGCUGUGUGGGAACACUAACCCUAACAAGGUGUUUAUCAAUUGAACCUUUAACUGCUGAUAUGAAAGAUAAGGUCCUCAUGUUUCCAAAACCUUUUCUGCAAUUAGCGCAUGUUAAUGUUCAGAUUGAGCAUCGGGGCUCCUAACAAAACUACCCCACACGGAAGACGCCUUCGUCCUAUGACUCUUAUGUGUAAUGUAAUGGAACGGAGUCAUGAUCAAGAGCUAAUCGAACCCAUGCUGGUUGCACCACUGCAGAGGGAAAGUGCUAAGGGAUGUCAGGACUUGUCUGAUUUCAUCACUGCUGAAGCCUUCAAAGACUCUCUCUGCCCAGCAGCAGCAGUGCCCUCCCAUCCUGUUAGGUUAUUAUAUCCACUGCCAGAAAAGACUCCCUAAUCUUUCAGACC
Long non-coding RNA from Oncorhynchus keta (chum salmon), 1396 nucleotides. RefSeq lists it as uncharacterized. The record is from RefSeq and is a predicted model, not a curated record. The transcript has 3 exons. Lineage: Eukaryota; Metazoa; Chordata; Actinopteri; Salmoniformes; Salmonidae.